RNAcentral lists this small RNA (277 nucleotides) under Streptococcus hyointestinalis. RNAcentral's name for it is "5' ureB small RNA". It matches the Rfam family "5' ureB small RNA". The record is from RNAcentral. Lineage: Bacteria; Bacillati; Bacillota; Bacilli; Lactobacillales; Streptococcaceae.
GGUGAGAUAUAGUGAACGUGAAGAUCAAUACCACCAGCAGUAACGAUCAAGCCUUCACCUGAAAUGGCUUCAGUGCUUGCCCCAACGAUAAAAUCAAUGUCAUCCAUAAUAUCUGGGUUACCACCUUUACCGAUGGCAAUGAUUUUACCGUCGCGAAUACCGAUAUCUGCUUUGAUAAUACCAGUGUAGUCAAUAAUUGUUGCGCCUGAGAUGAUAGUAUCAGCUACCAAUGGAUUGCUUUCACGGGUUUCACUUGCGUUUACACCCAUACCAUCAC